This 504-nucleotide ribosomal RNA is filed under the name uncultured bacterium. RNAcentral describes it as "partial 16S ribosomal RNA". It matches the Rfam family "Bacterial small subunit ribosomal RNA", at positions 30 to 523 of the family's 1533-position model. The record is from RNAcentral.
AUUGAACGCUGGCGGCAGGCCUAACACAUGCAAGUCGAGCGGUAACACAGGGAGCUUGCUCCCGGGUGACGAGCGGCGGACGGGUGAGUAAUGUCUGGGAAACUGCCUGAUGGAGGGGGAUAACUACUGGAAACGGUAGCUAAUACCGCAUAACGUCGCAAGACCAAAGAGGGGGACCUUCGGGCCUCUUGCCAUCAGAUGUGCCCAGAUGGGAUUAGCUAGUAGGUGGGGUAACGGCUCACCUAGGCGACGAUCCCUAGCUGGUCUGAGAGGAGGACCAGCCACACUGGAACUGAGACACGGUCCAGACUCCUACGGGAGGCAGCAGUGGGGAAUACUGCACAAUGGGCGCAAGCCUGAUGCAGCCAUGCCGCGUGUAUGAAGAAGGCCUUCGGGUUGUAAAUUACUUUCAGCGGGGAGGAAGGCGAUAAGGUUAAUAACCUUGUCGAUUGACGUUACCCGCAGAAGAAGCACCGGCUAACUCCGUGCCAGCCGCCGCAGUAA